GAAGGUAUAGCUCAGUGAUAAGAGCGCAUGCCUAGCAUGCACAAUGUCCUGGAUUCAAUCCCUAGUACCUCCA
Molecule: transfer RNA, 73 nt
Filed under: Camelus bactrianus (Bactrian camel)
Lineage: Eukaryota; Metazoa; Chordata; Mammalia; Artiodactyla; Camelidae
Also listed under: 2 other names
Rfam family: tRNA
About the family: Transfer RNA (tRNA) molecules are approximately 80 nucleotides in length. Their secondary structure includes four short double-helical elements and three loops (D, anti-codon, and T loops).
Source: Rfam by way of RNAcentral